RNAcentral lists this non-coding RNA (27 nucleotides) under Macaca fascicularis (crab-eating macaque). Lineage: Eukaryota; Metazoa; Chordata; Mammalia; Primates; Cercopithecidae. The record is from RNAcentral. RNAcentral also lists the same sequence under 1 other name.
UAGUCCCACAUACCUCAGAACCAGUUU